AGAGAACCAUGGUGGUUUGGUUACUUGGAAAUGUGUCCAAUUUCCGCGGAUUGUUGUGCUUUCCGACAAGUUGGAAGAAUCUGUUCCCGGGAACCCUUGACCAAAACGACACACAGCACACAGGUAGGCCCAGGAUCCUGCCCCGCCCACUUCUAAUAACUCGCCCAAUCCACCACGCACGAACCAGCGCCCCACACCACACCCUAGAAGUCCAUCCUCCCUCCCCGAUGGCCCUAGAAACAAGGCACAGAACAACCGAGCCCCGACGGACCUAGAAACGAGCAACGCCACCUCAGGCAGGCAGCCCUCGCCGGAACCCUAAGCCCCCGACCGCCCCGUCGCCACGAACCUCCGAAAUGUUGCUUCUCGUACCAAUUGGGGGGAAACCCGUAACAGGGAGGGGAGAUACCUCGCGGGGCCGCGGACGGGCGGCUCGUCGGUGGGGGAGCGUCAGGCCGGGAUCGCGGCUCCUUCUUCUUCCCCAAGCCCCUCCUCCACGCUCACAUUGCGCCGGCGCGCCUCCGCGAUUCCGAUUCCAACAUCUCGUCCUCCUGCUGCUCCUCCUCCCGCUCCCUCCUUCCUUUCCCCUCCGGUUUGAUGCUGCGGAAAGGGGCCAAAAGCCGCGGAGCCUGUCAUAACACGGGUCGGAAAAAAAGGUUGAGAAGGGAUAUUUAAUGCGUAGUAUUAGUGAGUUGAUCACGACGCUUUGUGGCGUUCGGGCGUCGCGGGCCACGUCCGCCCGCGCGAUCUGCGCCGUUGGUGGAGCGACGGACGGGCGGGAUCGGGUGGUCUCGG
This 795-nucleotide long non-coding RNA is filed under the name Hordeum vulgare. RNAcentral's name for it is "long non-coding RNA (HVUL_LNC011738)". Lineage: Eukaryota; Viridiplantae; Streptophyta; Magnoliopsida; Poales; Poaceae. The record is from RNAcentral.